RNAcentral lists this ribosomal RNA (530 nucleotides) under Eurema aff. laeta A SSG-2014. RNAcentral's name for it is "partial 16S ribosomal RNA". The stretch from base 395 to 530 matches the Rfam family "Bacterial large subunit ribosomal RNA", at positions 2473 to 2608 of the family's 2925-position model. Lineage: Eukaryota; Metazoa; Arthropoda; Insecta; Lepidoptera; Pieridae. The record is from RNAcentral.
UAACAACAUGUCUUUUUGUAAAUUAUAAAAAGUCUAAUCUGCCCACUGAAUUUAUUUAAAGGGCUGCAGUAUAUUGACUGUACAAAGGUAGCAUAAUCAAUAGUCUUUUAAUUGAAGACUUGUAUGAAUGAUUUGAUGAAAUAUAAACUGUCUCUUUAUUAAAAAUAAAAUUUAAUUUUUUAGUUAAAAAGCUAAAAUAAUUAUAAAAGACGAGAAGACCCUAUAGAGUUUUAUAUUUAUUUUAUUUAGAAAUUAUUUAUAUAAUUUAAAUAUAUAAUAAUUUAAAUAUUUUAUUGGGGUGAUAGAAAAAUUAAAUAAACUUUUUUUAAAUUUUAACAUUAAUUUAUGAAAUUAUGAUCCAUAAUUUAUGAUUAAAAGAAAAAAUUACCUUAGGGAUAACAGCGUAAUUUUUUUUUUUAGUUCAAAUAAAAAAAAGAGUUUGCGACCUCGAUGUUGGAUUAAGAUAAAAUUUAAAUGCAAAAGUUUAAAAUUUUUGAUCUGUUCGAUCAUUAAAAUCUUACAUGAUCUGA